CACGUAGGCGGCUUUGUAAGUCAGGGGUGAAAUCCCACGGCUCAACCGUGGAACUGCCCUUGAAACUGCAGAGCUUGAAUCCUGGAGAGGGUGGCGGAAUUCCUGGUGUAGGAGUGAAAUCCGUAGAUAUCAGGAGGAACACCGGUGGCGAAGGCGGCCACCUGGACAGGCAUUGACGCUGAGGUGCGAAAGUGUGGGGAGCAAAACA
Molecule: ribosomal RNA, 208 nt
Filed under: uncultured delta proteobacterium
Lineage: Bacteria; Deltaproteobacteria
Description: partial 16S ribosomal RNA
Rfam family: Bacterial small subunit ribosomal RNA
Source: RNAcentral